GGCACUUUGGCGGAGUGGUUAACGCGAUGCCCUGCUAUAUCCUCUGGGUGUAUUUAGGCAUUUCCCUCGGGAGCGAGUGUUCGAAUCACUCAGGUGUCG
Pseudogymnoascus pannorum is the source of this 99-nucleotide transfer RNA. It matches the Rfam family "tRNA". From Rfam's summary of the family: Transfer RNA (tRNA) molecules are approximately 80 nucleotides in length. Their secondary structure includes four short double-helical elements and three loops (D, anti-codon, and T loops). The record is from Rfam. Lineage: Eukaryota; Fungi; Ascomycota; Leotiomycetes; Thelebolales; Thelebolaceae.